UAUACAUGACUCUGCGCAUAUCAAUAAGCGGAGGAAAAGAAACUAACAAGGAUUCCCCUAGUAACGGCGAGUGAAGCGGGAAGAGCUCAAAUUUGAAAUCUUAAAGGGUUUCCCUUUACGAAUUGUAGUUUAAAGAAGUGUUUUCUGUUGAGGUUUUGGUAAAAGUUCUUUGGAAUAGGACAUCAUAGAGGGUGAGAAUCCCGUAUUUGACCUUUACUUUCAACUUUGUGAUACACUUUCAAAGAGUCGGAUUGUUUGGGAAUGCAGUCCAAAAUGGGUGGUAAAUUUCAUCUAAAGCUAAAUAUUGGCGAGAGACCGAUAGCGAACAAGUACCGUGAGGGAAAGAUGAAAAGAACUUUGAAAAGAGAGUUAAACAGUACGUGAAAUUGUCAAAAGGGAAGCGUUUGACACCAGUGUUGUUUUUCUGAAAAUCAAUUAAAGAACUGUUUAUGCUAAGCUGUUUAGACUUUAUCAGCUAAUCUGUUUAGUUUUGAGCUUUUCUUUAAUGCACUUUUCAGUUAACAAGUCAACAUCAAUUUCUUUUGCUGUAAGAAAGCUUGAGGAAGGUGGCUUGAGAUUCGUCUUAAGUGUUUAUAGCCUCUUGCCUAUGCAGUCGGAGAGAUUGAGGUCUGCAGCGUAGAUCCUUCGGGGCUAAAUGCAUUUGUGCUAAGUUAUAGCAUUUUAUAGACAACUUGUUGACUAUGAUUUGUCUUGUAGCUUACUCGCUUAUGUUAUUUUACCUACGCUUAGGAUGUUGAUCUACAGAGCGAGAGU
RNAcentral lists this ribosomal RNA (774 nucleotides) under uncultured Neocallimastigales. RNAcentral describes it as "partial large subunit ribosomal RNA". It matches the Rfam family "Eukaryotic large subunit ribosomal RNA", at positions 22 to 635 of the family's 3401-position model. The record is from RNAcentral. Lineage: Eukaryota; Fungi; Neocallimastigomycota; Neocallimastigomycetes; Neocallimastigales.